GUUUUUAUGUAGAUUUAAAACAAAUUUAUUCUGUAUGAUAUAGUUAUAUAAUUGUUUGUUACCUCAAAAUUAAAUUGUGCGUGUUUGCAAAUGCGCUGGACAUUUUUUUCCUUAGAUUUGGUCAGGAAUCUCGAAAAUUGUCGAGCCUGUCUACGAAUGUCAGAUCUGUUAUGAGAUUUAACAUCACUUUUUCAGUUUUCUUUUUUAUUCAUUGUAAGUGCAAGAUUUAACAUAUCAUACAAUAUCUGUCUUUUGAUGAGGGAAAUAUGUG
Molecule: long non-coding RNA, 271 nt
Filed under: Mytilus galloprovincialis (Mediterranean mussel)
Lineage: Eukaryota; Metazoa; Mollusca; Bivalvia; Mytilida; Mytilidae
Source: RNAcentral